CAGAGUUUACAAACUCCCUAAACCAUUGUGAACCUACCUCUACCUGUUGCCUUCGGCGGAUCAGGCCCAGCUCCCCCGGUACCCCCCGGGACGGCCCGCCAGGAGGACCCUAAACUCUGUUACAUUAUUGGAACUCUCUGAGUAUUCUUAACAUGAAUAAGUCA
Molecule: unclassified non-coding RNA, 164 nt
Filed under: soil metagenome
Description: partial internal transcribed spacer 1
Source: RNAcentral